CCUACGGGUGGCAGCAGUGGGGGAUAUUGCACAAUGGGGGAAACCCUGAUGCAGCGACGCCGCGUGAGUGAAGAAGUAUUUCGGUAUGUAAAGCUCUAUCAGCAGGGAAGAAAAUGACAGUACCUGACCAAGAAGCCCCGGCUAACUACGUGCCAGCAGCCGCGGUAAUACGUAGGGGGCAAGCGUUAUCCGGAUUUACUGGGUGUAAAGGGAGCGUAGACGGUUAUGUAAGUCUGGAGUGAAAGCCCGGGGCCCAACCCCGGGACUGCUCUGGAAACUGUAAAGCUGGAGUGCAGGAGAGGUAAGCGGAAUUCCUAGUGUAGCGGUGAAAUGCGUAGAUAUUAGGAGGAACACCAGUGGCGAAGGCGGCUUACUGGACUGCAACUGACGUUGAGGCUCGAAAGCGUGGGGAGCAAACAGGAUUAGAUACCCGGGUAGUC
RNAcentral lists this ribosomal RNA (440 nucleotides) under uncultured bacterium. RNAcentral describes it as "partial 16S ribosomal RNA". It matches the Rfam family "Bacterial small subunit ribosomal RNA", at positions 338 to 795 of the family's 1533-position model. The record is from RNAcentral.